Molecule: ribosomal RNA, 481 nt
Filed under: uncultured bacterium
Lineage: Bacteria
Description: partial 16S ribosomal RNA
Rfam family: Bacterial small subunit ribosomal RNA
Source: RNAcentral
GACGAACGCUGGCGUCGUGCUUAACACAUGCAAGUCGAGCGGAAAGGCCACUUCGGUGGUACUCGAACGGCGAACGGGUGAGUAACACGUGAGUAAUCUGCCCCUGGCUUUGUGAUAGCCACCGGAAACGGUGAUUAAUACCGGAUACGACCACUUCUCGCAUGGGAUGGUGGUGGAAAGUUUUUUCGGCCAGGGAUGUGCACGCGGCCUAUCAGCUUGAUGGUGAGGUAAUGGCUCACCAUGGCUUCGACGGGUAGCCGGCCUGAGAGGGUGCCCGGUCACACUGGGACUGGGGCACGGGCCAGACGUCUACGGGAGGAAGCAGUAGGGAAUAUUGGACAAUGGGCGGAAGCCUGAUCCAGCAACGCCGCGUGAGGGAUGACGGCCUUCGGGUUGUAAAGCUCUUUCAGCAGGGACGAAGCGCAAGUGACGGUACCUGCAGAAGAAGCACCGGCCAACUACGUGCCAGCCGCCGCGGUAA